ACCCAGCUGACGAGUCCUAAAUAGGACGGAAUACGCCUUGUCCUGGAU
This 48-nucleotide non-coding RNA is filed under the name Trichobilharzia regenti. The record is from RNAcentral. Lineage: Eukaryota; Metazoa; Platyhelminthes; Trematoda; Strigeidida; Schistosomatidae.